AUUGAACGCUGGCGGCAGGCCUAACACAUGCAAGUCGAGCGGAAGGUUCUUCGGAGCCGAGAGCGGCGGACGGGUGAGGAGAGCGUGGGAAUCUGCCUGUAGAUGGGGGAUAGCCCGGAGAAAUCCGGAUUAAUACCGCAUAAUACCUGAGGGUUAAAGUGGAGGAUCGCAAGACUUCACGUCUACAGAUGAGCCCACGUCAGAUUAGCUAGUUGGUAGGGUAAAGGCCUACCAAGGCGACGAUCUGUAGCUGGCCUGAGAGGGUGGCCAGCCACACUGGAACUGAGACACGGUCCAGACUCCUACGGGAGGCAGCAGUGGGGAAUAUUGGACAAUGGGCGCAAGCCUGAUCCAGCCAUGCCGCGUGUGUGAGAAGGCCUCGGUGUAAG
RNAcentral lists this ribosomal RNA (389 nucleotides) under uncultured bacterium. Its description in RNAcentral is "bacterial SSU rRNA". It matches the Rfam family "Bacterial small subunit ribosomal RNA", at positions 29 to 429 of the family's 1533-position model. The record is from RNAcentral.